This 253-nucleotide ribosomal RNA is filed under the name uncultured bacterium. Its description in RNAcentral is "partial 16S ribosomal RNA". It matches the Rfam family "Bacterial small subunit ribosomal RNA", at positions 524 to 776 of the family's 1533-position model. The record is from RNAcentral.
UACGUAGGGCGCGAGCGUUGUCCGGAUUUAUUGGGCGUAAAGAGCUCGUAGGCGGUUUGUCGCGUCGGCCGUGAAAACCUGUGGCUCAACUGCAGGCUUGCGGUCGAUACGGGCAGGCUGGAGUUCGGUAGGGGAGACUGGAAUUCCUGGUGUAGCGGUGAAAUGCGCAGAUAUCAGGAGGAACACCGGUGGCGAAGGCGGGUCUCUGGGCCGAUACUGACGCUGAGGAGCGAAAGCGUGGGGAGCGAACAGG